Molecule: long non-coding RNA, 551 nt
Organism: Thunnus maccoyii (southern bluefin tuna)
Lineage: Eukaryota; Metazoa; Chordata; Actinopteri; Scombriformes; Scombridae
Exons: 3
Source: RefSeq, a predicted model, not a curated record
AGGUAGUGAGCAGUUCAGGUAAGCAGGAGCUAUUUUAGUUGCUGUUUUGUUAGCGAGUGUCAGGAUUUUUAAUUUGAUGCGAGCAGCAACUGGGAGCCAGUGGAGGGAGAUGAACAGCGGGGUGACAGGCACUGUUUUGGGGCUGGUUGAAGACCAGACGCGCCGCCAUGUUGGAGGUCAUCUGCAGAGAUUUGAAGGUACAUGCGGGGUGCAUGCUGCCAGUAAGGAGCUGCAGUAGUCGAUGAGAUUACGAGAACCUGGACCAGGUUAGUUGUGCUGCAGGCUCAGACAGGAAGGAUCUGAUCUUCCUGAUGUUGUUCAGGACGAACCGACACGACCGACCGACUGAGGUCACGUGAACCUUAAAGGACUCGAACCCACAACCUUUGAAUCUCAUCUGUCGAGCUGAGCAGCCAGGAGUCCGAUGAGUUAUCCGCUGUGCAUAAUUUGCAGCCAUGAAAGGAAACCGAAGAGGACGACGACGAAGGAAACCAGGGAAGAGACAAAACGACAGAGGAAAGUGAACGGAAAUAGUCUAUUAGCAGCUAAAA